AAAAAAAAAAAGUUACUGUUGAGCCCUGAGUUAGCUUGUCCAUCCGAUUUGCCUCAUGUCUCUGAAAUUGUUUAAUUCAUUCUUGCCAUAUAUGAGCAAUUUGACAGGACAUACAUUUAUGCACCAUUCACAUGAAACAAUGCCAAUAGUCAAUAGAAAAAGCACAACAUUUUGGUAUAAGUACUACCUGGGAUAUUGAUUAAUGUUAGUUGAUGUGAUACAAUUAGGCAAUUUCUUACAGGAAUACAUCCAAUGUUUUACGACAUAUAACCCAGAUCAGUAACAACUUUCUCUCUAACCUCCAUGAAUCACGUUGCCAAGUGAAAGUGAAGCAUGAGUGAAUUCUGGAGUUUCCAUAUGGCUUCUAAAUGUAUAUGUUGUCUUAUAAGAAAUUAUAGAACAGUCAACCACAGCUUUCUGGCACUUUUCCAACAAAGUUCAGACAAUUAUUUCACUCUAAUACCAACAUCUAAUACACACCAAAGUAAAGAAGCAGAGAAAUUCUUUCACACGUAGGUUAAAACUCACGAGGCAAGGCAUUGUCAAAACUUUAUUCAUGGAGAAAACAUUUGACAAGGUGUCUGCAUAUUGUACUCUAUAAGUGGCAUGUUGUGGAAUAAAUUAUCCCUAUUCUCCAGAUGGUAGGUUUGUGUCCCUCAGGCCAGAGCAUUAACUCCCAAAACAAAGUUCUGUAAUGCACUGACUGCAAACAAUUAAGAGUCGAAGUGUAUCACAGAACUUUACUUGGAAAGCCACGGUGCCACAUAGUAGGCUAUUCCUUUGUGCCAACCCUUUUCGCCAAAUCUUCACCUGCAACAUCUGGUAGAAAGUGAGCACUGUUAAAGGGGGCCAGCUGCAAUCCAGCACGAGGGCAAACAGAUCAUAAAACGCCAAAAACAGUGGCCUAUCUGCAAUUGUUGCAGGGCUAACUAUCAAAUCAAACAGGAGUUUCCCCGAUUCUUAUUUCGCGGUGGUCGUCCCUCUGGAGGCUCCAAACAGUGUUCGAAGUGCCUUCAUAUCGUUUUUACCUCUUAUUUCAGCUCUGUGCAGUUCAG
This is a long non-coding RNA of Esox lucius (northern pike), 1055 nucleotides long. NCBI's taxonomy places the organism in Eukaryota, Metazoa, Chordata, Actinopteri, Esociformes, Esocidae. The record is from Ensembl.